CGAUUACAUACGGGGAGCUUGCGCGUUGCAGGCUGAGAGGGAGCGGUGCUCCGACCCGAUGAACCUGUCUGGAUAAUGCCAACGAAGGGAAUGCGAUCAUGACGAUCA
Molecule: non-coding RNA, 108 nt
Organism: Eggerthella sp. CAG:298
Lineage: Bacteria; Bacillati; Actinomycetota; Coriobacteriia; Eggerthellales; Eggerthellaceae
Source: Rfam